This 75-nucleotide transfer RNA is filed under the name Candidatus Saccharimonadota bacterium. Its description in RNAcentral is "tRNA-Met". It matches the Rfam family "tRNA". From Rfam's summary of the family: Transfer RNA (tRNA) molecules are approximately 80 nucleotides in length. Their secondary structure includes four short double-helical elements and three loops (D, anti-codon, and T loops). Lineage: Bacteria; Candidatus Saccharimonadota. The record is from RNAcentral.
CGCGGGGUGGAGCAGCGGCAGCUCGCUUGGCUCAUAACCAAGAGGUCCUAGGUUCGAGUCCUAGCCCCGCUACCA